RNAcentral lists this ribosomal RNA (1361 nucleotides) under uncultured bacterium. RNAcentral describes it as "bacterial SSU rRNA". It matches the Rfam family "Bacterial small subunit ribosomal RNA", at positions 29 to 1381 of the family's 1533-position model. The record is from RNAcentral.
UAGAACGCUGGCGGCAGGCCUAACACAUGCAAGUCGAACGGUAACAGGAAGAAGCUUGCUUCUUUGCUGACGAGUGGCGGACGGGUGAGUAAUGUCUGGGAAACUGCCUGAUGGAGGGGGAUAACUACUGGAAACGGUAGCUAAUACCGCAUAACGUCGCAAGACCAAAGAGGGGGACCUUCGGGCCUCUUGCCAUCGGAUGUGCCCAGAUGGGAUUAGCUAGUAGGUGGGGUAACGGCUCACCUAGGCGACGAUCCCUAGCUGGUCUGAGAGGAUGACCAGCCACACUGGAACUGAGACACGGUCCAGACUCCUACGGGAGGCAGCAGUGGGGAAUAUUGCACAAUGGGCGCAAGCCUGAUGCAGCCAUGCCGCGUGUAUGAAGAAGGCCUUCGGGUUGUAAAGUACUUUCAGCGGGGAGGAAGGGAGUAAAGUUAAUACCUUUGCUCAUUGACGUUACCCGCAGAAGAAGCACCGGCUAACUCCGUGCCAGUAGCCGCGGUAAUACGGAGGGCGCAAGCGUUAAUCGGAAUUACUGGGCGUAAAGCGCACGCAGGCGGUUUGUUAGUCAGAUGUGAAAUCCCCGGGCUCAACCUGGGAACUGCAUCUGAUACUGGCAAGCUUGAGUCUCGUAGAGGGGGGUAGAAUUCCAGGUGUAGCGGUGAAAUGCGUAGAGAUCUGGAGGAAUACCGGUGGCGAAGGCGGCCCCCUGGACGAAGACUGACGCUCAGGUGCGAAAGCGUGGGGAGCAAACAGGAUUAGAUACCCUGGUAGUCCACGCCGUAAACGAUGUCGACUUGGAGGUUGUGCCCUUGAGGCGUGGCUUCCGGAGCUAACGCGUUAAGUCGACCGCCUGGGGAGUACGGCCGCAAGGUUAAAACUCAAAUGAAUUGACGGGGGCCCGCACAAGCGGUGGAGCAUGUGGUUUAAUUCGAUGCAACGCGAAGAACCUUACCUGGUCUUGACAUCCACGGAAGUUUUCAGAGAUGAGAAUGUGCCUUCGGGAACCGUGAGACAGGUGCUGCAUGGCUGUCGUCAGCUCGUGUUGUGAAAUGUUGGGUUAAGUCCCGCAACGAGCGCAACCCUUAUCCUUUGUUGCCAGCGGUCCGGCCGGGAACUCAAAGGAGACUGCCAGUGAUAAACUGGAGGAAGGUGGGGAUGACGUCAAGUCAUCAUGGCCCUUACGACCAGGGCUACACACGUGCUACAAUGGCGCAUACAAAGAGAAGCGACCUCGCGAGAGCAAGCGGACCUCAUAAAGUGCGUCGUAGUCCGGAUUGGAGUCUGCAACUCGACUCCAUGAAGUCGGAAUCGCUAGUAAUCGUGGAUCAGAAUGCCACGGUGAAUACGUUCCCGGGCCU